GACGUAGGGCGCGAGCGUUGUCCGGAUUUAUUGGGCGUAAAGGGCGCGUAGGCGGGAAAGUCAGUCAGAUGUGAAAUCCCGGAGCUCAACUCCGGAACAGCAUUUGAAACUGCUUUUCUAGAGGGUAGGCGGAGAAAACGGAAUUCCACAAGUAGCGGUGAAAUGCGUAGAUAUGUGGAAGAACACCAGUGGCGAAGGCGGUUUUCUAGCUUACACCUGACGCUGAGGCGCGAAAGCAAGGGGAGCAAACAGG
RNAcentral lists this ribosomal RNA (253 nucleotides) under uncultured bacterium. RNAcentral describes it as "partial 16S ribosomal RNA". It matches the Rfam family "Bacterial small subunit ribosomal RNA", at positions 524 to 776 of the family's 1533-position model. The record is from RNAcentral.